RNAcentral lists this ribosomal RNA (537 nucleotides) under Diadocidia valida. RNAcentral describes it as "partial 16S ribosomal RNA". It matches the Rfam family "Bacterial large subunit ribosomal RNA", at positions 1804 to 2610 of the family's 2925-position model. Lineage: Eukaryota; Metazoa; Arthropoda; Insecta; Diptera; Diadocidiidae. The record is from RNAcentral.
UUAUCAAAAACAUGUCUUUUUGAAUUUAAUAAAAAGUCUAACCUGCCCAUUGAAAUAAUUUUUAACGGCUGCGGUAUUUUGACCGUACAAAGGUAGCAUAAUCAUUAGUUUUUUAAUUGAAAACUGGAAUGAAAGGUUGAACGAGAUAUAAGCUGUUUUAUAAAAAAUUUAUUAAAACUUUACUUUUUAGUUAAAAGGCUAAAAUUAGCUUAAAAGACGAGAAGACCCUAUAGAGUUUAAUAAUUUAAUGAUUUUAAAAAAAUUAGAAAAAUUUCAUUUAAAUUUAUUGAUUUAUUUUGUUGGGGUGACAGUAAAAUUUAAUAUACUUUUAUUAUUAAAAACAUUAAUUUAUGAAUUAAUUGAUCCAAUAAUAUUGAUUAAAAAUUUAAAUUACCUUAGGGAUAACAGCGUAAUUUUUUUUUAGAGUUCUUAUCAAUAAAAAUUUUUGCGACCUCGAUGUUGGAUUAAAAUUAAUUUUAGGUGUAGAAGCUUAAAAAUUAGGUCUGUUCGACCUUUAAAUUUUUACGUGAUCUGAGU